CAGUAGCCGCGGUAAAACGAAGGGGGCUAGCGUUGCUCGGAAUGACUGGGCGUAAAGGGCGCGUAGGCGGCGAUCAAAGUCAGGCGUGAAAUUCCUGGGCUCAACCUGGGGGCUGCGCUUGAUACUUGGUUGCUUGAGUGGGGAAGAGGGUCGUGGAAUUCCCAGUGUAGAGGUGAAAUUCGUAGAUAUUGGGAAGAACACCGGUGGCGAAGGCGGCGACCUGGUCCUUGACUGACGCUGAGGCGCGAAAGCGUGGGGAGCAAACAGGAUUAGAUACCCCCGUAGUCCCUGUCUCUUAUAC
This 301-nucleotide ribosomal RNA is filed under the name uncultured bacterium. RNAcentral describes it as "partial 16S ribosomal RNA". It matches the Rfam family "Bacterial small subunit ribosomal RNA", at positions 509 to 807 of the family's 1533-position model. The record is from RNAcentral.